This is a non-coding RNA of Calothrix sp. HK-06, 112 nucleotides long. The record is from Rfam. Lineage: Bacteria; Bacillati; Cyanobacteriota; Cyanophyceae; Nostocales; Calotrichaceae.
CCAGCUUAGUGUCCAAAGCUGUUCCUAACUUCCCCAUGCAUUGCUGGUAACGGUGAUGUGUGAAGCGGGGAGUAAAGCCCAAGGAAACAUUUAGCCUAAAAAUGUAACUAGG